UGUAUUGCAUAGUUUCAGCAAUUGGAUUUCACCCAAAACUCGCCAAAUGACUCCAACCGAAAUAUUAUGAUGUUGGCCAAGUUUUGGGCUCAAUCCGAUAUCCAUUGCCCAAUCAAAUUGGACAAUUCAAGUUCGUACGAAGUUUGUUCCCUAAAUGGUGUGGUUGGUGUAUUGAAUAGUUUUAGCAAUUGGAUUUCACUCAAAACUCACCACAUGACUCCUCCCACCAUAUUAUGAUGUUGACCAAGUUUUGUGCCCAAUCCGAUACCGAUUGAACUAAGAAAUCUGACCAUUCAAGUUCGUACGAAGUUCGUUCUGUAAAUGGUAUGGUUCGUGUAUUGCAUAGUUUUAGAAAUUGGAUUUCGCUCAAAACUCACCAAAUGACUCCUCCCACCAUCUUACGAUGAGCCCCAAGUUUUGGGCUCAAUCCGAUAUCGAUUGGUCCAUGAAAUUAGACAAUACAGGCUCGUCCGAAGUUCGUUCUGAAAUGGAGUGGUUUGUGUAUUUCAAAGUUUUAGCCAUUGGAUUUCACUCAAAAGUCACCAAAUGACUCCUCCCACCAUAUUAUGAUGUUCCCCAAGUUUUGAACUCAAUCCGAUAUCGAUUGGUCCAUGAAAUUGGACAAUUCAUGUUCGUACAAAGUUCGUUAUGAAAUGGAGUGGUUGGUGUAUUGCGUAGUUUUAGCUAUUGGAUUUCACUCAAAAGUCACCAAAUGACUCCUCC
Molecule: long non-coding RNA, 723 nt
Filed under: Prunus persica (peach)
Lineage: Eukaryota; Viridiplantae; Streptophyta; Magnoliopsida; Rosales; Rosaceae
Description: long non-coding RNA (PPER_LNC008544)
Source: RNAcentral